This 497-nucleotide ribosomal RNA is filed under the name uncultured bacterium. Its description in RNAcentral is "partial 16S ribosomal RNA". It matches the Rfam family "Bacterial small subunit ribosomal RNA", at positions 28 to 507 of the family's 1533-position model. The record is from RNAcentral.
GAUGAACGCUGGCGGCGUGCCUAAUACAUGCAAGUCGAGCGAACAGACGAGGAGCUUGCUCCUCUGACGUUAGCGGCGGACGGGUGAGUAACACGUGGAUAACCUACCUAUAAGACUGGGAUAACUUCGGGAAACCGGAGCUAAUACCGGAUAAUAUAUUGAACCGCAUGGUUCAAUAGUGAAAGACGGUUUUGCUGUCACUUAUAGAUGGAUCCGCGCCGCAUUAGCUAGUUGGUAAGGUAACGGGUUACCAAGGCAACGAUGCGUAGCCGACCUGAGAGGGUGAUCGGCCACACUGGAACUGAGACACGGUCCAGACUCCUACGGGAGGCAGCAGUAGGGAAUCUUCCGCAAUGGGCGAAAGCCUGACGGAGCAACGCCGCGUGAGUGAUGAAGGUCUUCGGAUCGUAAAACCCUGUUAUUAGGGAAGAACAAAUGUGUAAGUAACUAUGCACGUCUUGACGGUACCUAAUCAGAAAGCCACGGCUAACUACGUG